This 629-nucleotide ribosomal RNA is filed under the name Tetraselmis sp. MBTD-CMFRI-S057. RNAcentral's name for it is "eukaryotic LSU rRNA". The stretch from base 213 to 366 matches the Rfam family "5.8S ribosomal RNA". The record is from RNAcentral. Lineage: Eukaryota; Viridiplantae; Chlorophyta; Chlorodendrophyceae; Chlorodendrales; Chlorodendraceae.
GAUCAUUGAAUCGAUCAAAUCCACCAUGCGAACCGUUCUGUCUCCCUCCUGGGGCCCCUCGCGGGGCCGCUUGAGCGGCUAGGAUGCGUUCCUAGUCGGGCCUACCGCCUCCCUGGGAGGCGACUAGGUCGGCGCUUCUAAUUAACUCCACACCAAAACACCGUCUAAAGCUAUGUGCGCAUUGCCCAGCGCGAUCGCAUCUAACCUAAGACAACUCUCAACAACGGAUAUCUUGGCUCUUACAACGAUGAAGAACGCAGCGAAAUGCGAUACGUAGUGUGAAUUGCAGAAUUCCGUGAACCAUCGAAUCUUUGAACGCAUAUUGCGCUCGAGGCCUCGGCCAAGAGCACGCCUGCCUCAGAGUCGGUUAACUCCCUCAGCCCCACCCCAACUCCCCCUGGAGUUUUGGGCGGGCCUGGAGCUGGCAGUCUCAGCGCGCCUGGGUCUGCUGAAGUAGAGAGAUCUGACAGGACCCUUACUAAGGGCAAACACUAGGUAGGUAGCCUUCGGGUUAUUCCUGUGUGUGUCCAAGGCCUGGCUGUGAUCCGCAGGAAACAACAAUUAACCAUUCGACCUGAGUUCAGACGAGACUACCCGCCGAACUUAAGCAUAUCAAUAAGGCGGAGGAA